AUACAGAGGGUGCAAGCGUUAAUCGGAUUUACUGGGCGUAAAGCGCGCGUAGGCGGCUAAUUAAGUCAAAUGUGAAAUCCCCGAGCUUAACUUGGGAAUUGCAUUCGAUACUGGUUAGCUAGAGUGUGGGAGAGGAUGGUAGAAUUCCAGGUGUAGCGGUGAAAUGCGUAGAGAUCUGGAGGAAUACCGAUGGCGAAGGCAGCUUUCUGGCCUCAUACUGACCCUCAUGGACGAAAGCUGGGGGAGCAAACAGGAUUAGAAACCCGAGUAGUCC
RNAcentral lists this ribosomal RNA (274 nucleotides) under uncultured bacterium. RNAcentral's name for it is "partial 16S ribosomal RNA". It matches the Rfam family "Bacterial small subunit ribosomal RNA", at positions 523 to 796 of the family's 1533-position model. The record is from RNAcentral.